This 83-nucleotide non-coding RNA is filed under the name Methylomonas sp. DH-1. Lineage: Bacteria; Pseudomonadati; Pseudomonadota; Gammaproteobacteria; Methylococcales; Methylococcaceae. The record is from RNAcentral.
UGUUAUGGCGUGGUUAUUUGGGCGGCCCUGUGCCGGCCGCUCCUUAGCGCGGUAGUUCGAACCCACUUAACCACGUCGCCCAA